UCUGAUUUAGUGCUCUUAAGAAUUCCUAAGAAGGUCAGCUGUUAAACUAGUCAUUUAAGAUGCUUGUAUAAAGCAAACACACUGACUGCUUACUGUUUAAUACUCAUUUACUUAAUAGACCUGCUUUAUUUAGAUCAAUUUGGGGUGACCAGGAGAUGCACCACUGAAGGUGGACAAAACAAAGAUCUGCCUUCAGCCAAAGAGAGAUCAAAUGACAAGGUACCGGUGGCCAUGGAAGUCUCUGGCAACUCCAACACAACUAAAGGGCCAUCACAUAGGAAGAGAGUGAAGUGGAGCCAAGAAGAAAUCCAGGCGGUGGAGAAAACGCUCAUGGACUGUAUUGACUCUGGAACGGUUCCUGGGAAAGCCCAGUGUAUGAAGUGCAUUGAAGCCUCACCAGUGGCCCUUGAGAACAGGACAUGGCAAGCGGUUAAGUUCUAUGUGAAAAAUCGCAUAGAUGCAUUAA
Molecule: long non-coding RNA, 466 nt
Organism: Archocentrus centrarchus (flier cichlid)
Lineage: Eukaryota; Metazoa; Chordata; Actinopteri; Cichliformes; Cichlidae
Exons: 3
Source: RefSeq, a predicted model, not a curated record